GGUUUAAUUCGAAGCAACGCGAAGAACCUUACCUGGGCUUGACAUGCUGGUGUAAGCCGGUGGAAACAUCGGCCCCUCUUCGGAGCGCCAGCACAGGUGCUGCAUGGCUGUCGUCAGCUCGUGUCGUGAGAUGUUGGGUUAAGUCCCGCAACGAGCGCAACUCUCGCUCCCAGUUGCCAGCGGUUCGGCCGGGGACUCUGGGGGGACUGCCGGCGUUAAGCCGGAGGAAGGUGGGGACGACGUCAAGUCAUCAUGGCCCUUACGUCCAGGGCGACACACGUGCUACAAUGCCUGGUACAACGCGUCGCGAACUCGCAAGAGGGAGCCAAUCGCCAAAAGCCGGGCUAAGUUCGGAUUGUCGUCUGCAACUCGACGGCAUGAAGCCGGAAUCGCUAGUAAUCGCGGAUCAGCCAUGCCGCGGUGAAUACGUUCCCGGGCCUUGUACACACCGCCCGUCACGCCAUGGAAGCCGGAAGGACCCGAAACCGGUGGGCCAACCGCAAGGGGGCAGCCGUCUAAGGUCAAGUCGGUGACUGGGGCGAAGUCGUAACAAGGUAACCGUAG
RNAcentral lists this ribosomal RNA (564 nucleotides) under uncultured bacterium. RNAcentral's name for it is "bacterial SSU rRNA". It matches the Rfam family "Bacterial small subunit ribosomal RNA", at positions 943 to 1505 of the family's 1533-position model. The record is from RNAcentral.